AUUGAACGCUGGCGGCAGGCCUCACACAUGCAAGUCGAACGAGUGGCGGACGGGUGAGUAAUGUCUGGGAAACUGCCCGAUGGCGGGGGAUAACUACUGGAAACGGUCGAUAAUACCGCAUACCCUCGGAUGUGCCCAGAUGGGAUUAGCUAUUAGGGGGGGUAACGGCUCACCUAGGCGACGAUCCCUAGCUGGUCUGAGAGGAUGACCAGCCAAACUGGAACUGAGACACGGGCCAGACUCCUACGGGAGGCAGCAGUGGGGAAUAUUGCACAAUGGGCGCAAGCCUGAUGCAGCCAUGCCGCGUGUAUGAAGAAGGCCUUCGGGUUGGAAAGUACUUUCAGCGAGGAGGCGUUACUCGCAGAAGAAGCACCGGCUAACUCCGUGCCAGCCGCCGCGGUAAUAC
Molecule: ribosomal RNA, 406 nt
Filed under: uncultured bacterium
Lineage: Bacteria
Description: partial 16S ribosomal RNA
Rfam family: Bacterial small subunit ribosomal RNA
Source: RNAcentral